UGCGAGAUAUGAUCCAAUGGUCAAUGCGGUGAAAAAAAAAAGAACAAUCAUUCUUUCAACGAACCCAUCCAACCUCCAUUUCAUUGGAUGGUUCCCUUUGGAAACUUGUGGAUUGCAUCAGAUUCAUGAAGUGGAUCAUAAAGAGACCUGCCAGAAAACAGAAAGGUAUCGCCUAACCACCCAACUGUGUGGCCCUACAAUGAGAGCAAUUUAUGUCCUCUGCAACCAUGGAACAUAUGCC
RNAcentral lists this long non-coding RNA (241 nucleotides) under Elaeis guineensis (African oil palm). Its description in RNAcentral is "long non-coding RNA (EGUI_LNC022622)". The record is from RNAcentral. Lineage: Eukaryota; Viridiplantae; Streptophyta; Magnoliopsida; Arecales; Arecaceae.